GUUGACCUCGGAUCAGGUAGGGAUCACCCGCUGAA
RNAcentral lists this ribosomal RNA (35 nucleotides) under Oidiodendron citrinum. RNAcentral's name for it is "partial 28S ribosomal RNA". RNAcentral also lists the same sequence under 1 other name. Lineage: Eukaryota; Fungi; Ascomycota; Leotiomycetes; Myxotrichaceae. The record is from RNAcentral.